This 252-nucleotide ribosomal RNA is filed under the name uncultured bacterium. Its description in RNAcentral is "partial 16S ribosomal RNA". It matches the Rfam family "Bacterial small subunit ribosomal RNA", at positions 524 to 776 of the family's 1533-position model. The record is from RNAcentral.
UACGUAGGUGGCAAGCGUUAUCCGGAUUUAUUGGGCGUAAAGGGAACGCAGGCGGUCUUUUAAGUCUGGUGUAAAAGGCAGUGGCUCAACCAUUGUAUGCAUUGGAAACUGGUAGACUUGAGUGCAGGAGAGGAGAGUGGAAUUCCAUGUGUAGCGGUGAAAUGCGUAGAUAUAUGGAGGAACACCGGUGGCGAAAGCGGCUCUCUGGCCUGUAACUGACACCGAGGCUCGAAAGCGUGGGGAGCAAACAGG